UUUUUUUUUUUUUUUUUUAAGAUUUUAUCUAAUUAUUCAUGACAGACACACAGAGAGAGAGAGAGAGGCAGAGACACAGGCAGAGGGAGAAGCAGGCUCCAUGCACCGGGAGCCUGAUAUGGGAUUCGAUCCCGGGUCUCCAGGAUCGCGCCCUGGGCCAAAGGCAGGCGCCAAACCGCUGCGCCACCCAGGGUUCCCCCGCUACGCCACCCAGGGAUCCCCAUCCCGGACUUCUGACCCGAGUCCUGCAUGUGGGGGUCAUGUCCCCCAGCACACACUGCAGAGACAGCCCGUAGUGGGGCAAAGCCCUUCCUCUGCGGGCUUGCAGCAGGGGAGACGCGUGGGAAGGAGCCCACCAAGGCUGAGGCAUACAAAGGGUGGAGCCAUGUCAAAGAAAACUCCUUUUUCUAGGGGGGACGUGCCAGCCCAGGCCCGUGUGUCUGCCAGACCUGCCGCAGGCCCAGCCCCAAUUGCCAGGGGGCCUCUGCUUCCUCCUUCCUGUUCUUGAAGGAAGAACAGGGAAUGAGGGCAGGACACAUGGAUCCCACACCUCUUCUGCGCCAGGAGCCUACCUAGGUUCUUGACACUUAGCUCAUUCACACCUCUUCGCCAUGCCACCCUGUAGGUGAGGCUCAAGGGCAUGGAGGUGGGCAUCACUUGGCCACGCAGCUGAAGAGCAAACACGGAGCUGAGAUCCUUGCACAGAUCCCUGUGCUCCCACCACACCCCAGCACAGCCUCGCAGCUCGGCAGGCUUCAGGGAGGGUGCCAUUGUCCCUCUCUCCUAGAGAGCAGAGAAAGAGGUGAUGGAGGGAGCCAGUGGUAUGGACCCCAGCAAGGAGCCCAAAGGGGAAACCAGUCUCCAGGGGCUCCCUGCAGCUUCCUGCAGCAACCUCGCCAGCUCUUCAAGGGGGGUGCUUGCAGGGAUCCUCCUGGCUUUCCCUGGCUUGUGCUGACUUCCCUUAUUGAGCUCAGACUCUGCUCUGCUGGAGGUGGGGUCAGUCAGGCUUUGUCCGGCCCCAUGGAUUUAUCCGCCUUCCCUCUGGCAACCCUUCUCCUGGCCACAUGGGCAGGGCCCCUUCUUCCAAACUCUGCUUCCUUCCUACCAACACCGUGUAGCUAAGAUUGGGUUUUCCGUGAUAGCAAAUCAGCAAAAUCUGAUGGUUAGUACAGCUCAGAUCCCAGCUCUGCCAUCACUAGCCAUGUGACCUAGAGGAUGUCUCUGAACACAUCCACAUGUCCGCGUCUUCACCUGUGAAAGAGAAAUGAUGAUAGCAUCACCACACGUGAGUAACAAGAACAACUCCUGGCCGGUGGUCCGAGCUCUGUAUGUCUUCACUGGUACUGUCUCUUCCUACACAGGCCUCAUGAAGGGUGGGUCAUUCUGCAGACCCAAGCCUGGGAGGAAAUCAGAGUGGGCUGGAUGGAAACCAGCCCGUGGGCCUGAUGAACUGCCAUAUGGUGCUUUUCUCAGAACCAUAUAAGGGAAGAACAAGUUCAUGUGCCAGGUGGGGAGCUGAUGGAGGCCAAGGAGGGAAAUAACAGAGACAUGUUUUAAAACGUUCUUUUGGGGGGCACCUGGGUGGCUCACUCGGUUAAGUGUCUGCCUUCGGCUCAGGUCAUGAUCUCGGGGUCCUGGGAUCGAGGGCCGCAUUGAGCCUGAACUCCCUGUUCAGCGGGGAGUCUGCUUCUCCCUCUGUGCCUCUUCCUGCUCGUGCUCCCUUUCUCUCAAAUAAAGACAUAAAAUCUUAAAAAAAAUCUUAAAAAAAAAAACACAAAAACCUCUCUUUUUGCUUGCUUGCUCCAAAGCCUGUGGCCUCCCAUAGCUCAUUGUCAGGUUUGCAGGACUCCACACCGGGAGGGAAGGCAGGGGGUGUCUUUUCUAUAGGCAGAUGCAGCAAUUCCAGGUCAUCUUGUGGAAGAGCCCUCAAGGAAAGGUGGGGCAGCUGGGGGAGGAGGAGGAAGUGGACCAGCCCAUCCUCAGAGAGAUGCGAAGGGCCUGGCACACUGACAAGCUCAACCACCGGCAGGUCCUGCUUGGUAGCAGCUGUGGGCAAAGCCAACGUGAACAUCUUUAGCAGACUGCGUUUUCUCCUUGUUUCUUUUUCCCUGCAAGAGAUUCCUUAAAGAAAUUAAGUGUUUCUUAAAAAAAAAAAAGGUAAUAACACUCAGAACCCUCAUAGCCAGCCCUAAUUCCUUUUCUGGAACAUUUGUAUUUAUCUAUCUUCCCCACCAGGCUGCCUCUGAGGAUGAGACUAUCUGUCCUGCGCACCACCGUGUCCUGAUGCACUGUGCCCGAACAAACGAUUGAUAUGUAUUUGUGGACAGAAUGAUGGAAAGAGGGAUCUGAAAACCUGGGAGACCUGAUGAGGCCUCUCAUGUGUGAAAGGGCCUCCCAUUAUACGCUUCCAUGGAACCUGGUACUUCUCAUGACUCUUAUCACAUUUUGCAAUUACUAUGAAUUUGUGGAAGUAUUACAUUGAUGCCUCUGAAGGCUGUGACUGAUUUGUUUCUCAUUGUCUCCCCUGUGCCUGGUACAGUGCCUUGUACCUGCUAGGUGCUCUGCAAACAGGAACUGUAUGAGUGAACGAAUGAAUAUGUGCAAAAGGCACUAUGGGCUCAGGUGACUCUGAGCUCCAGCAGCGCAGUGAGAGGUGGUGGUGGGGAGGGGUUUGUGCCAUAGCUGCAGGGGUUCAAAACCAGUCAGUUGUUACUAGCUGUGUGGCCUUGGGUUGGUUACUUACCUCUCUGUGCGUCACCUUGUUUAUCUGCAUGGUGGGAAUAAUAACAAUACUCAUUUUGUAGGGCUGCAAGAGGAUUAAAUGAGUCAUACAUGGAGCAUGCUUACAGGUGAGUCUGCCCCACGUUAAGCACCACCAGAAGUCAUGUCUUGUUGUUAUCAAAGUGCCUAGCAGUGAGCUCCCUCUUGCUUUAACCCUGGAGAAUUCUCAGGGUCUCAGGCUCAGCUUCUGGAAAAUUCUCUCUAGUAGACAGGGCUAAUAACGAGACCCAAGGAAGAAGCGCAGGGUUUACAUUUGGAUCGACCCUCCCAGGAUUUGCUAUCCCCACCUGCCCGGGGCCUCAAAGAUGGUCCUAGGCAGUGUGUUUGGGGUGCGGCCUGGCUCCCACCCCUCUGGCUGCUCCCCACAGCAUGGAGCUGGCGUCCCUGGCCUUCCCUCACCACCCGCCUGGCACGGAGCUGACUCACCGCCAGGAGGGGUGGUGAUUAGCAUGCAGGGCAGGUACCCGGAGGAAAGCUGUCUCCAUGCAACAGCUCUUGAUGUGUUUCUCUGAUUAAUGUGGCAGAGAGAACAUUGCAGCUUUUUCCUGAAUGGUCGCCACGUGGAGCUGGAGUCAUUAGCAUCACGUCUCCCGCUUGCCAUGACCUGCUGACCACCCUAAGUAGAUAAAAAUGAAAAUGGCCAAGAC
Molecule: long non-coding RNA, 3428 nt
Filed under: Canis lupus familiaris (dog)
Lineage: Eukaryota; Metazoa; Chordata; Mammalia; Carnivora; Canidae
Description: lncRNA (ENSCAFG00845006155.1)
Source: RNAcentral